This is a non-coding RNA of Caretta caretta (loggerhead turtle), 707 nucleotides long. NCBI's taxonomy places the organism in Eukaryota, Metazoa, Chordata, Testudines, Cheloniidae. The record is from RefSeq and is a predicted model, not a curated record.
GAUGAUGAUGAGGUUGUAGAUAGCUCACAGCAAGCAAGCGGAGAAACCGGUUUUCCCGACAGCCAGGAACUGUUUCUCACCCUGGACCUGGAGCCAGUACCCCCCCGAACCCACCCAAGGCUGCCUCCUGGACCCAGCAGGCGGAGAAGGGACCUCUGCUGCAUGUGUUUCAAUGAUCACAGGAUCUUCUCCUUCCCAGAGGCUGGUGAAGCUUAGAAAGAAAAAAAAACGCACUCGCGAUGAAAUGUUCUCCGAGCUCAUGCUGUCCUCCCACACUGACAGAGCACAGACGAAUGCAUGGAGGCAAAUAAGAGAGGAGGCAGGAUUCAAUGCUGAGGCUGCUGGAGGACCAAACCAGUAUGCUCCAGUGUAUGGUUGAGCUGCAGCAAAGGCAGCUGGAGCACAGACUGCCACUGCAGCCCCUCUGUAAUCAACCGCCCUCCUCCCCAAGUUCCAUAGCCUCCACACCCAGAUGCCCAAGAAUGCGGUGGGGUGGCCUCCGGCCAACCAGCCACCCCACCACAGAGGAUUGCCCAAAAAAAAAGAAGGCUGGCAUUCAAUAAAUUUUCAAGUUGUAAACUUUUAAAGUGCUGUGCUUAAAGUGCUGUGUGGCAUUUUCCUUCCCUCCUCCACCACCCCUCCUGGGCUACCUUGGUAGUCAUCCCCCUAUUUGUGUGAUGAAUGAAUAAAGAAUGCAUGAAUGUGAA